Schistosoma rodhaini is the source of this 45-nucleotide non-coding RNA. The record is from Rfam. Lineage: Eukaryota; Metazoa; Platyhelminthes; Trematoda; Strigeidida; Schistosomatidae.
AUCCAGUUGAUGAGUCCCGAUUAGGACGAAACGUGCGUCCUGGAU